CACGGGGGGAGCAAGCGUUGUUCGGAAUCACUGGGCGUAAAGGGUGCGUAGGCGGCGCGGUAAGUCGGGUGUGAAAUCUUGGAGCUUAACUCCGAAACUGCAUUCGAUACUGCCGUGCUUGAGGACUGGAGAGGAGACUGGAAUUUACGGUGUAGCGGUGAAAUGCGUAGAGAUCAUGAGGAAGACCAGUGGCGAAGGCGGGUCUCUGGACAGUUCCUGACACUGAGACACGAAGGCCAGGGGAGCAAACGGG
RNAcentral lists this ribosomal RNA (253 nucleotides) under uncultured bacterium. Its description in RNAcentral is "partial 16S ribosomal RNA". It matches the Rfam family "Bacterial small subunit ribosomal RNA", at positions 524 to 776 of the family's 1533-position model. The record is from RNAcentral.